GCGGUGGUGGUUCAGUGGUAGAAUUCUCGCUUUCCCUGUGGCAGACCUGGGUUUGAUUCCCAGUCAAUGCA
This 71-nucleotide transfer RNA is filed under the name Loxodonta africana (African savanna elephant). It matches the Rfam family "tRNA". From Rfam's summary of the family: Transfer RNA (tRNA) molecules are approximately 80 nucleotides in length. The record is from Rfam by way of RNAcentral. Lineage: Eukaryota; Metazoa; Chordata; Mammalia; Proboscidea; Elephantidae.